GGACUACCAGGGUAUCUAAUCCUGUUUGCUCCCCACGCUUUCGCGCCUCAGCGUCAGUAACGGGCCAGUGUGUCGCCUUCGCCACUGGUGUUCUUCCGAAUAUCUACGAAUUUCACCUCUACACUCGGAGUUCCACACACCUCUCCCGUACUCAAGAUAGCCAGUAUUGAAGGCAGUUCCGAGGUUGAGCCCCGGGCUUUCACCCCCAACUGAACUAUCCGCCUACGCGCCCUUUACGCCCAGUAAUUCCGAGCAACGCUAGCCCCCUUCGUAUUACCGCGGCUGCUGGCAC
This 292-nucleotide ribosomal RNA is filed under the name uncultured bacterium. Its description in RNAcentral is "partial 16S ribosomal RNA". The record is from RNAcentral.